AAAUUAAAGGGCCGCGGUAUUUUGACCGUGCAAAGGUAGCAUAAUCAUUAGUCUUUUAAUUGAGGGCUGGAAUGAAUGGUUUAACGAAAUAUUAGCUGUCUCUUUAUAAUAAAUAUAAUUUAACUUUUGAGUCAAAAGGCUUAGAUGAUUAUAAAAGACGAGAAGACCCUAUAGAUCUUUAUACAUGAAUAUUUUUAUUUUUUUUAGAUUAAUUUUUAAUGGAUAUAUUAUUGUAUUUUGUUGGGGUGACAUGAAGAUAAAAACAACUCUUUAUUAUUAAUACAUUGAUUUAUGAAUAAUUGAUCCAUUAUUAGUGAUUAUAAGAUAAAGUUACCUUAGGGAUAACAGCGUAAUUUUUUUUGAGAGUUCUUAUCGACAAAAAAGAUUGCGACCUCGA
This 397-nucleotide ribosomal RNA is filed under the name Psorodonotus venosus. RNAcentral describes it as "partial 16S ribosomal RNA". It matches the Rfam family "Bacterial large subunit ribosomal RNA", at positions 1920 to 2529 of the family's 2925-position model. The record is from RNAcentral. Lineage: Eukaryota; Metazoa; Arthropoda; Insecta; Orthoptera; Tettigoniidae.